UUAAUAUUAGUUAUGAAAUAUAUUUCAAGAAAUUUUAUAUUUAGUUUUUUAAGAAUAAAAGUAGAAUAAAUAAUUUUUAUUACUAUUAAUAUGGUUUAGCUUAUUAAUAUUAUAUAUUGAUUAAAUUUUUUUACCUAAAUAAAUUUGAUAUUGUUUACUUUAUUAAUUUAUAAUUGAUGGUGAUUUUAAUAUAAAUUUUUAUUAAUUAUUAAUUUAUUAAAAAAUUUAUUUAAAUUAGGAAGUUUCAUAUAUAAUGAAAAAAUUAGUAAAAAUUGAUUUAUAUAAAAAAAUUAUUAGUAAUAAUAAAUAAAAAUUAUAAUUAUUGUAAAAAAUGAAUUCGGCAAAAAAUUUAUUUGACUGUUUAGCAAAAACAUUGUUUCAUGAAUAUUAAUAUGAAAUAAUGUCUGUCCACUGAGAGGCUUGAAGGACUGCAGUAUAUUGACUGUAUAAAAGUAGCAUAAUCAUUAGCUUUUUAAUUGGGGGUUGGUAUGAAGGCGAAACGGAUGAAUUCUUUAUUUUUUAUAAAUAUUUUAAGUUUAUUUUUAAGUGAAAAAUCUUAAUUGGAUGAGAGGGACAAGAAGACCCUAAUAAGUUUUAUUUUUCUUUUAUUUAUGUUAUAGGAGAGUAAGAUUAGAUAAUAUUAAAUGAUAAAUUUAAUUGGGGCGAUUAUUUAUAAAACAUAAUUUGGUUAUAAUUUUU
Molecule: ribosomal RNA, 699 nt
Filed under: Pseudopolydesmus paludicolus
Lineage: Eukaryota; Metazoa; Arthropoda; Diplopoda; Polydesmida; Polydesmidae
Description: partial large subunit ribosomal RNA
Source: RNAcentral